GACGAACGCUGGCGGCGUGCUUAACGCAUGCAAGUCGAACGGAAAGGCCCUGCUUUUGUGGGGUGCUCGAGUGGCGAACGGGUGAGUAACACGUGUGUAACCUGCCCUUGACUUUGGGAUAACUUCAGGAAACUGGGGCUAAUACCGGAUAGGAGCUCCUGCUGCAUGGUGGGGGUUGGAAAGUUUCGGCGGUUGGGGAUGGACUCGCGGCUUAUCAGCUUGUUGGUGGGGUAGUGGCUUACCAAGGCUUUGACGGGUAGCCGGCCUGAGAGGGUGACCGGCCACAUUGGGACUGAGAUACGGCCCAGACUCCUACGGGAGGCAGCAGUGGGGAAUAUUGCACAAUGGGCGGAAGCCUGAUGCAGCAACGCCGCGUGCGGGAUGACGGCCUUCGGGUUGUAAACCGCUUUCGCCUGUGACGAAGCGUGAGUGACGGUAAUGGGUAAAGAAGCACCGGCUAACUACGUG
This 468-nucleotide ribosomal RNA is filed under the name uncultured bacterium. RNAcentral's name for it is "partial 16S ribosomal RNA". It matches the Rfam family "Bacterial small subunit ribosomal RNA", at positions 28 to 507 of the family's 1533-position model. The record is from RNAcentral.